Molecule: RNA transcript, 2423 nt
Organism: Trifolium pratense (red clover)
Lineage: Eukaryota; Viridiplantae; Streptophyta; Magnoliopsida; Fabales; Fabaceae
Exons: 4
Source: RefSeq, a predicted model, not a curated record
UGAUAUAUUUUAAGAACUCAAAUUUAAAAGGGGAACAAGAAAAUAAAACCCUAAGCUCAAAUGAACAUCUCUGAAGAUCAUCUUUUCCACUCGAUCUCUCUCAACUCAAGUAAUUCCUAACCUAUCGACUUUCAAUCGUGAACGCAUCUUUCGCUGAUUCUUCAAGCUAUUCGCCCUGCUCAAUCGUUCUCUUCGUUUCUGCAUUGACUCGGUACCUUUAUCUUUCUCUCUCAAAUCCCUCGUUCUUAUUUUCUUCUGCUAUGAUUUCUUAUCUUUCUUUUUUGGGUUUUUUGUUUCUGUUCUUUAUUUUUUAGGGUUUGUGAGAAUUUUUUAGAAUUUGUGGUUUGUGAAGAUCUUUGAAUCUUUGAUUUUUUUUUCUGGUGUGAUGUUUGGUUGGUCUGUUAGACCGGUUCGAUUCCUUGCUAAUUGUUUCCUUGAGAUUUUUGAAUCACAUCUAACCUUUUCAAGUAUUUUGGUUGUCUUCUACUAGUGCUCUGAUUUGUUCGCCCAGUAGUGCCCUUUAUUGAUGCUUAUUCUUAUAGUAGUAACUAUCCAAAUAUUAUAGCAUUGAGCCACUAACUACCAACACGUUUCCAUAACCUCUCAUUCACCUAUUAUAUCCAAAUACCAGUGCUGAUGCUACUAUAAAUUAUGUUUACUUAUAUUUAAAAGAUGUGAGAUUCAAGCUAAAAGCUAAAAGAAAGCUAUACAAAAUAGUGUUAAAUAGACAAAAGACCAAUAGAAAAGGAACAAAAUCAAACAAAACCUUAUGACUUUAGAAAUAUGAAAGUCAUUUUGUACCAUAUCUAAUGAAUUGUGAUUCUAAUUUUCAUAACUGAAUGCAUGAGGAAAAAUUGAUUUGUAGGGCUGCAACAAUUAAUGAAAACAUUAAACAUAAGUUAGAACAUGUCACUAUAUAUAAUAGCUGAAAAUAAGCAUGAUAAAUAUAAAGAAAGAGUUAGUUUAUUUACAGGAUUUAGCAGUUACUUGUAGGGAGUCAUCCAAAAGCAAUGUGUUUGACUCAUUAUAAUAUUCAUUCUCCCAAGGAAGAUUAGGAUUAUAUACUUUGUCCUAAAUUUUCCUCAAAUCCUUCAAAACGUACAAGUGGUUUGUGCUUGUUUUCAAUAGUACUGUCAAGAAUGUUUUACAAAAGAGACCAAUCAUGCUAAAAACUUGCAAGUAUCAGUCAAUAAAGAAUUAACAUAUAGUACAGAGAAAUGGAUUGAGAACGGUCGACAUUUCUUGCAGUAGUAAUCUCGGCCAUACUUUGAGAUUGGAUGGUAAUGAUUUUAAGUUGUAUUGUAAUCUCCUGCCCCAACAGUUACUCUCAUACACAUAACUGCAUUAAGGAUGGGAUGAAAAAAAAGCAGAGUUAGAUUCAAUGAUGCAGAAAAGAACAAGUUAAAUCAUUUGGUAGAUUGAAUAACACAAGUUAUUGAUGCAUCACUUUCGUAAGGUCAAUAUCAUACAUAAAAGAUGAUUACGUACUGUGUAGAAUUCUUCAUUUAUAUGGCAUCUCAGGUAUAGAUGUCUUCGUUGAUGAGUUUUAUCAGUAAUGGUCCAUUUCCAUGUUAAAGCCAAAAUGAAGACUAUAGCGUCUAGAGGAAGUAAUGCUAAUGCACAUAAUGAAACAAUUGUUAUGACUUUCUCUCCCUUCGAGAUUCAGAAAGGAGUUACAAAUUUUCUGAAAAUAUGUGUUUACUUUAUUCUAUCUUCUGGCAUGACGUGUGUUGGGACGGAGCUUGUUAAAGAUGCUGCCAAAAUUCCUAAAGGUAAUACCGUGAACCAUCAAACGGUAUGUGAAAUUAAAGUUUUUUUUUUCCUUUAUCUGUCAUUUAAUUAGUUUUAUAUCUCUUCUCUUAGCAAUUGGGAGAAAUUGUUUUUUUGCUUAUGUAUUGUGUUACUAAAACAGAAAGAUGAUGAUAUGAUAAGUGAAGAACAAGAACAGGGUAACAGAAAACUGUUUAAAUUUUUAUUCUAUUAGAAUCAAGUAUUAUUUGUUGAGAGCUAUUUAAUAAUACUAUUGAGCUGUUUAAAAAAAAGAAGCUACAGGAGAUAUGUUAACCUAAGCUUCCACUUAAUAUUGAUUUGCAUAGGAAAUUAGCGUGAUAUUUUUUUUAUUUGUUUUGUAUUGGAAAGUUCUUGCUCAUAAGUGGCAGUAAUAAAGUCAAACAACUUUCAAGGGAUCUAAAGUCAUUCGAUAGGAAGGUACCAUUCAAUAAUGAAGGUAAGUGCAGUCAUGGUACCAAGAAUGUAUAUCAUGGAGCAUGUGGAUUACAGCCUCUAGAACGAUCAAUACAUAUAUUUAUAGGAGAUUUAUUUGUAAUACCGACUAUAGACAAAAAAAAAUAAUUAGUUAAGCAUAAAGUGCUUAAUAUUAUGCUAAGUUAGUCUAGGUAUGGAUUUAAUGUAAUAAUAGAUUC